Molecule: long non-coding RNA, 3755 nt
Organism: Leguminivora glycinivorella
Lineage: Eukaryota; Metazoa; Arthropoda; Insecta; Lepidoptera; Tortricidae
Exons: 2
Source: RefSeq, a predicted model, not a curated record
UUCUUCGAGCGAUUUACUUAUACGAACACAAAUUGGGAACCAGUUCAAGGGAAACAGCAAAUAAGAUUAACAGUGCUUUUGGCCCAAACACUACUACCGAUCGCACAGUACGAAAUUGGUUCCAGCGCUUUGAUGAAGGAGAUACAAGUCUAAAGACAUUCCUCAAACUGGUCGCCCCGUCACUUUUGACGAAGUGGCAUUGCGGCGCGAGCUUGAGUUGCAUCCGGAUUCCACCACCAAAGAUUUAGAUCUACAAUCCAUGGGUUACCGUAGAGUUUUGUCAAGAUGGACGCCUCAUGCUUUGACCGAUGCUCAACGUGAAGUACGUGUUAGCAUUUGUGAAAGUCUGCUGCUGCGUCCCAAAAAAAGAACUUCUUGAAGUCGAUCAUCACUGGAGAUGAAUCCUGGAUCUUGUACGAGAACGUCACACGAAAAGCCUUUUGGAUAUCUGCCGAUAAACGGACACCAACACAGCCGAAAAGCAGUACGCAACUACGCAUGGUCGGAAAUUUCUCCUGUCAGUCUUCUGGGAUUCGCAAGGAAUGUUGUUUUGGGAGUUACUGGAGGAUAACCAGACUAUUGACGCCGAAGUCUACGUGAAUCACCUAAAGAAUUUGGCGAUCGCUGUUGAAGAAAAACGGCCAAAACGUCUUGAAGUGUCAUUACUUCAUGAUAAUGCAAGACCACAUGUUGCGAAGAGGACCCGUAAAUUUCUAGAGGAGCUCGGUUGGACAACGAUACCUCACCCACCCUUAUAGCCCUGAUUUGGCACCUUCCGACAAUCAAUCACCUUUUCCGGGCUUUAAAACAGCACCUUCGUAAAAAGAAAUUCGAAUAUUCCGGUGACCUAAAUUAUCACCUUGCUAAUUUUUUUGCCUCUCAGUCACUUUCUUUCUGGGCUAAUAAGGGUAUUGAAACUUUGCCUAGCAGAUGGCUACAUGUUCUAGAUAAUAAUGGUGAUUAUAUUGUCGAUUAACUGUUUCAAUAAAUAGAUAUUACAAAAUAAUUUAGUCGCAUUUAAAAGUGGGAAAAUAAUUAUGCAACAACCUAAUAUUUCAAAAUUUCUCGCAAUGACUAACAGCCUCAUUUGUGUCGCUUAACUUCAAACUCUGCUAAAUCCGUUUUGCUAACAGUUGAUUAUCUAUAUUGUUAAUAAAAAAUAUUAUAUUUUUAAUUGAACAAACCGAUUAGUUAAACUUUGAUAAUAAAAUUAUCUUUCCCAUUACGGCACAAUGGUUUCGCACCUUUAGGAGGCGUGUGUAAAGCCGAACCCUUCACGUAGUGAUCUGUUUUCAAAUCAAACAUUCAUUUCGAACUGUUAAGCCGUUUUGACACGUUGAUUAAAUUUCAUUUCAUUUCAUUAAAGACUACGUAAAAUCAACUUUGCUAUUGGACUAUAGUAUUUUAUGCAACUAGUGUUUACCAGAGAUAAAAAAAAGGUGGGUGACAAUUGAGGCGAAGCCGAAGACGCCGCGAGUAUUUUUUGACUCGGUUAACACCGUUGCAUACUAACAAUUCAAUAGGUGGGUUUUCUACGACCAUGCACUAGUUUUUAAUAGUUUUCUAGUAACUAUCCCAGCGCUCGAGCCAGCUGCCCAAAGCCAUCCCCCGCCGGCUUCCCACGCGCGCAGUAACUUAAUAACAAUGCGUUGCCGUGGUUACAGAGCCAAACCAUGCUUUUUCAAUUUUUUCGUUACUGCGCGCAUGCGCGGGAAGCUGGCGGGGGUGGCUUUGGGGAAUAUGUUUUUAUGUAGGGUUUUAAAGAUCUAUGCACGACCCUGUAAAUGACGAAUAACAGACUAAAAGACUGUGGGAUAACAAACCGAACGCCUGCCUAAUGAAACGGUGUCCAAUUUAUUUUAGGCCGACGGUGACUUGCCCCAAAUGAUCUUAUUAUUAUUAAGUUCUUUAAAUAUUAGGUACUGAUUUUAGCUUUCUUGGUUUUGUAAUAUUUGCUAACUUGUGAUAUGUUUUCGUGCUAUUAUUUAUUUAUUAACCAUAUCACUAGUGCAGUUUGAAUUUAUUUUCUUUUAAAUUCAUUAUACACGCCAGCCGCUAAAUUUCACCAUGCAACACACUUAAUCGUCUCAAAAUACAUGUAUGUUUAUUAAUGUACAAUAAAUAUAAUAAUGUGCAAUAAUCAAUUUUGUGAUAACAGUUCCAUUAUGAGUAAUUGUGACUUACUUACCUUAAUAUAAAACAAUGUUGCCGCGAUUUACCAGAGGACUAGCCAAGAUGACAAUAAUGCGUCAACGAACAACCUGAUGUGCAAUAUGCUACGCAAAGUCCAAGAACAAUUUCUUUAAAGGUAUAUGUACUUUUACAUGUUUGUCCAUAUGUGAGAGUUCCCACUUUAUCGAUUGCUAUAAAGCCGCUUUGCCAGUUUAUUCAUAUAAAGAUACAACUCAUACAAGUAAAUCUCGCCUUAAUGGUAACCGACAAAGUGGGACGUUUGACUAAACACACUCACAUAUUAUGAUCAUCACGAAUUAAUGUAUUAACUCUUUCUCUUUCAUAUGUUUCAUAAUCAUCUUGUGGCUCUUGGCCCCCAGUAAUACCUAUUAAUUGUAUCAUAUUCUAUUGUUUUAGGGCUCACUUACAAUCACUAUCAGCCGCUGUUACUUUUUUGUAUGUAACUGAUAGGUCGAUAGUCAAUUAACCCCUUUACCCAACUUUUGGAAGACUAUACCUAUCCAAUAAUUUUAAACAAUAUAAAAGUAACUUUCUAGUCACAUAAGACAUGAGACUCUUAAUGAAUAUCAUUGUGAAUUUUUUUAGAACCCGUUUAUUAUCUGUAAGAAUAAUUUUGGUGCUUUUUAAUUUGUGUAUAUUUGUACAAGGGCUACCUUUUUUGUAUAAUAUAUUAAAUAGUUUAGAAUUUACUGAAGAAUCAAUAAUAUAUGGCUUGCCACCAGAGAAGGAUCCUUAAGCUCCGUGUGUAUGAAAGAUCCACCUCUGCUUGAAAGCCACGUGUGUGAUUUAAUUUCAGCUAGUAUGUAAGUUUUAACUGUUCAAAACGAACAUAUAAAUAUACAAGAUGAAAAUUUAUAUUGUGCCAAAUACCAAAUACAUACGGAUAAUAAUUAUACUUAUAUAAAAACGUUGAUGGCUAAAGCACAAAAAAUAUAUUUAAAUACGGCAGCAUCAUAAAUAUUCGCGAUUGUUGAGCCAUUUAUGGUCCUAUCAAAUUGGCAAUUAAGUAUGUACGCCACUUUAGAUAGAACUCUAAAUGGCUCAACAACCAUGGAACGUGAUUACAACGUUCACUCGGUACCUAAGCAUACUAACUAGAAUAUCAAUAUCACAACAUAUUUGUAUUAUUUGGUCGUAAAAGAGGCAAUGAAAACUGAUAACUCGUUUCGCCAUUAUUUUAGAUUUUUUUGAGAACUAACAUUUCUCCGUGCAUGCGGUGUUGUAUUGAUACUAUCAGUUUCCAGGCCUCUGGCUAUUGCUAAAUACAAUAGCACAUGAGUAUGUAAUCAAUAAGUUUUGUGUGUCAAGAAUAUAAUGUACUUAAUUUUAUUUAAGUAGGUAUACAUCUUUCUGGGACGUACGGAUGCGAGUGAAAUCAUUUUGCCAAAGAACACUCGCUGAUAAUAUUUUUAGAUUUUUAAUAUGAAUUAAUGAAUGUAGCUAUGUUUCAAUAUUAUAUACGUAGACUCGUAUAACAGUAUAUAGUUGUAUAGCUUUAAUGAAUAUUAUCAUUACAUGUACGAAUACAAAGAUUGAAUAAAUAUUUAUGCAAUGAUAUUAAA